This 435-nucleotide long non-coding RNA is filed under the name Phasianus colchicus (ring-necked pheasant). Its description in RNAcentral is "lncRNA (ENSPCLG00000004874.1)". Lineage: Eukaryota; Metazoa; Chordata; Aves; Galliformes; Phasianidae. The record is from RNAcentral.
AUGUCUUUGCAUACAGAUGGGCUUCUCCAGCUGCCUUGGAGGGUACUCACCAGGGGAAGGAGGAGAGAAAACAGAGGGAGGAGAAACCUGCAGAGCUCACAGCUAGUUCUGCAGGAGGCAGGAGCAGAAUGCAACUUCUGUAGCUUGGAGAGCUUCAGAUGUGAGCCUGAACAAGUCAUUUUCAACAAUGGGAACUUUCACAAGGAGUACACACACAAGGGAGCAAGAAGGAAGGAGAAUGCUCUCAGUAUGCCUAUUUCCAGGGGGAAAGAAAAAAACAAACGAAGCAAGUCAUUUGUAAUGUUACGUGCAGAAGAUUCUGGUGUCAUGAUCUUUCACUUUUGCCCUGCAUCUAAUACUGAGGAUCAUUCAGCCAUGAUGAAACCAGCUGGAGGAAAUUCUCUCCUGCAGGACACGAAGGCCAAUGACGGAUAG